Long non-coding RNA from Neofelis nebulosa (Clouded leopard), 749 nucleotides. RefSeq lists it as uncharacterized. The record is from RefSeq and is a predicted model, not a curated record. The transcript is spliced from 2 exons. NCBI's taxonomy places the organism in Eukaryota, Metazoa, Chordata, Mammalia, Carnivora, Felidae.
AGCACACGCUGGCCCUCCUCCGGUCCCGGCGCCCGCUGGGGGGCGGCUCUGCGGUCUCAUCGCCAUCCUCGUGCCGCAGUGCCACCUGAAAAAGCAGACAGCGCCCGGUGCAAGAUAUGGCACGCCCGAGCCAGCCCUGGCCAAGUCCAGCAGCCUCUCUGACCUGGCAACCGAGGAACUACACAGUCCUACGUCCCCAAAGGUGUCAAUUCUCCAGCCACAUAGGUGCUCUUGGUUACAUUUUACAACUCAGACCUGACGGGUGAGAGAACGGAGAAUAUAAAGACCCAGAUGGCUAAUCGUGCAAUAUGGCUCUAACAUCACCUACCUAUAGAAAACCGACCUAUUGCGAAAUCAGUGGUGCCCCGUGUCCAAAGUGUUCACACCUGUGCUCAUCUAGCAAGGUGAGCUUGGCUGUGUCAAGACCAGGUGGGCCACUCUCGUCCCAUUUCACAGGGAUGAACACCUAGGCCACGCGGCCUGUUUCACAGGGGUGCACCCACCAUCCACAUGCCCCAGGUCCAGUUUCCUCUGGCUCUGGCUUUUGCGUGAGAUCGAUUUUGUGAAACCUCUUCUAUCUUCGUGCCAGAUACAUUUUAUAACAAGCUCACACAGAGGAGGACAAUUUGAUAAUAUUGUGACUAUUUGUUCUCCCAGAAUUUACUAGUCAGACAUAAUGUUGGGAGGUUUGACGUAAAUAUUGAUAAGAGUUCAGAAAAAGCCCUGUCAUAAAAUGUCAUUGGAAAGUC